Molecule: ribosomal RNA, 460 nt
Filed under: uncultured bacterium
Lineage: Bacteria
Description: partial 16S ribosomal RNA
Rfam family: Bacterial small subunit ribosomal RNA
Source: RNAcentral
CCUACGGGAGGCAGCAGUGAGGAAUAUUGGUCAAUGGACGUAAGUCUGAACCAGCCAUGCCGCGUGCAGGAAGACGGCUCUAUGAGUUGUAAACUGCUUUUGUACGAGGGCAAACGCCGAUACGCGUAUCUUUCUGAAAGUAUCCUACGAAUAAGGCUUGGCUAACUCCGUGGCAGCAGCCGCGGUAAAACGGGGGAUUCAAUGGUUAUCCGGAUUUAUUGGGUUUAAAGGGUGCGUUGGCGGUCGGAUAAGUUAGAGGUGAAAUCCCGAGGCUCAACUUCGGAAUUGCCGCUGAUACUGUUCGGCUAGAGAGUAGUUGCGGUAGGCGGAAUGUAUGGUGUAGCGGUGAAAUGCUUAGAGAUCAUACAGAACACCGAUUGCGAAGGCAGCAUACCGGGCUACAUCUGACGUUGAAGCACGAAAGCGUGGGGAGCGAACAGGAUUAGAUACCCUGGUAGUC